RNAcentral lists this long non-coding RNA (985 nucleotides) under Pan paniscus (pygmy chimpanzee). RNAcentral describes it as "lncRNA (ENSPPAG00000044336.1)". The record is from RNAcentral. Lineage: Eukaryota; Metazoa; Chordata; Mammalia; Primates; Hominidae.
CCGCUGCUUUGGGCUGUAUUGAGGACAGGCCACAAGGAAACUGAGCAGGUGUUCCAUUCUAGCCUAGCUGUAGCAAGGUGUGAGGCAGAGCCAAGAACUUGCUCUGUUUCCGAGCCUCAGUUUCCUUGCCACCGAAGUGCGGACUUGGCUCUCAUUGUGAGCCGAAUCCCUCUGCUUCCUGAUCUCUGAACUGGUGCAAGGGGCUCUACCAAUAAAGACAUGUGUAGGGGUCCCCUUUUGCCCCCACCUAGCUCAAUUAGUAGAGCAUGAAACUGAAUGGAUGGGUCUUUGGCUGGAGCUCCAGGUGCAGAUUUACGUUCAUUUUCUUUUGUUCCGCCACACAAUUCGACCGGUUCCGCAACUGUCCUCGGGGCGCGAGGAAGCCAAGUGGGCUUCACAGGAAAGACCUCCUUGGUUUCAGGGACAUUGUAGCUGUCAGCUUGAAAUCUUCAGAAAGAAGAUUUUGUGGUAGAUGAGAAGACUGGAAAUUUCUGGAUCUAAAGCUAACAUGAAGUCCACCUCAUCUGGCGCCCUCGUCUCCCGAUCCAACUCACGGCGGACAAACCAGAUCUGGUUCCUAGUGCUCAGCGGGGUUUCAGCAGAAUGGGGAAGAAAGGGAGGAAAAACGGAGCAACACCAAGAACGAACGAAAUCUACGUGGACCCUUAGGUCUACAAAACGGAAGCAGCCCUGCAUUAAGUUCAAAGAAGGAGCCCGGCGCGCUUCAGCUCCUGUGGCUUGCGGUGAUCGUAUCUCGGUUAGUACUCUACGCUGUGGCCGCAGCAGCCGUGGCUGGAAUCCCAGUCAUGGCAACGUCCAUUCUAGCCUAGGCUCUUCUUUCCCUUUCGCCUCCAAUCUCAGCCUAGGCUACGUCGCUGACCUGAGGCUAGAGAGGUCACAACUUUCCUGUGACUUAGGAACUCUCUGUAGUGGUGAGAAUAGAAGGAACCUCUACCCUGCACGCCUAGGGGUCCGGUUAUCUUGA